Molecule: ribosomal RNA, 271 nt
Filed under: uncultured bacterium
Lineage: Bacteria
Description: partial 16S ribosomal RNA
Rfam family: Bacterial small subunit ribosomal RNA
Source: RNAcentral
GACGAAGGAUGCAAGCGUUAUCCGGGUUCAUUGGGUUUAAAGGGAGCGUAGGUGGACUUAUAAGUCAGUGGUGAAAUCUCCGAGCUUAACUCGGAAACUGCCAUUGAUACUGUAGGUCUAGAGUACAGUUGCCGUUGGCGGAAUAUGACAUGUAGUGGUGAAAUACUUAGAUAUGUCAUAGAACACCGAUUGCGAAGGCAGCUAACGAAGCUGUAACUGACACUGAGGCUCGAAAGUGCGGGGAUCAAACAGGAUUAGAAACCCGGGUAGU